Molecule: long non-coding RNA, 457 nt
Filed under: Sorghum bicolor (sorghum)
Lineage: Eukaryota; Viridiplantae; Streptophyta; Magnoliopsida; Poales; Poaceae
Description: long non-coding RNA (SBIC_LNC010054)
Source: RNAcentral
GGUAUCAUGCUUGAAAGGUCCAUUCUUUACACCUUAGCAUCAUUUGGUAGAAAUUGACUCCUAAUUUCCUAUUCAAGCAUAUGUGCAAGCUUUCAAAUCCAAACUCUUAGCACAUAUGUAGGGGGAGAAAUUGCUACCAAUUUGGGUUUAUGAAACUUGUCCAUAACCUUUGCACAUUGUAAAAUGCUUGGGCAAGUAACAUAAAUCCAUGAAAAUUUUAUUGAAAAUCUUUGUAAAUAGGGUUGUCAUCAAUUACCAAAAAGGGGGAGAUUGAAAGCCCUAGUUUGGUUUUGGAUAAAUGAUGAAACCCUAGUACUAACCUCUAUACUAAGUGUGUGUAGACUUAACGAGGUUGGUACAUGCCAAGUGAUAGAGCAAGUGAUGAUCAUGGUGAUGACCACAAGAUGAUAAAGUGCUCAACUUGGAAAAGAAGAAAAACAAAAACAAAAUCCUAUGG